GUUGGGUUUGUUACAUAUUCUUUUUAAUUGUUCUUAUAUUUGGAUGCCAUUUUUUGCAUUUAUUGUCUGAUGUUUGGGAAGAUCAUGUGUGACUAGCUAUUGCACUUUACCAUUGAUCCAGUGACUUCAGAGAUUUUGCAGAUGGGCUUUUUAUUACCAUUGAUCUUGUAAGUGUGUACAUAUAGCAACUUGUUACAGUAUUUGACAAUGUUGCACUAUUUCUUCACUGUUUUUUCUUACAUGCAAUUCUUGGAGAAUUGAAGAAUUAACAUCAUUGCAAA
Molecule: non-coding RNA, 281 nt
Organism: Pelobates cultripes (western spadefoot toad)
Lineage: Eukaryota; Metazoa; Chordata; Amphibia; Anura; Pelobatidae
Source: the annotation of a GenBank genome assembly